This 472-nucleotide ribosomal RNA is filed under the name uncultured bacterium. RNAcentral's name for it is "bacterial SSU rRNA". It matches the Rfam family "Bacterial small subunit ribosomal RNA", at positions 355 to 825 of the family's 1533-position model. The record is from RNAcentral.
UGGGGAAUCUUGGACAAUGGGCGCAAGCCUGAUCCAGCCAUUCCGCGUGCAGGAUGAAGGCCCUCGGGUUGUAAACUGCCUUUGUACGGAACGAAACGGUCCGAGCUAAUACCUCGGGCUAAUGACGGUACCGUAAGAAUAAGCACCGGCUAACUACGUGCCAGCAGCCGCGGUAAUACGUAGGGUGCAAGCGUUAAUCGGAAUUACUGGGCGUAAAGCGUGCGCAGGCGGUUAUGUAAGACAGGUGUGAAAUCCCCGGGCUUAACCUGGGAACUGCAUUUGUGACUGCAUAGCUAGAGUACGGUAGAGGGGGAUGGAAUUCCGCGUGUAGCAGUGAAAUGCGUAGAUAUGCGGAGGAACACCGAUGGCGAAGGCAAUCCCCUGGACCUGUACUGACGCUCAUGCACGAAAGCGUGGGGAGCAAACAGGAUUAGAUACCCCCGUAGUCCCUGAGCGGGCUGGCAAGGCGCAU